UUUGAAAAAAAAAAAAAAAACAACGCACCUCCAUCUUCUUCUUCGUUUGAUAACUUUUCUCCCGGGGACUCAUCGAAUGAACACUUCGGGAUGUUGCAAGAAGUAGUAGAUAAUCCGGGUACUUUUUGCCUACUGGUUUUUAAAUACCAGGAAUUCGGACAUACUCCUCGCCUCGCCUACUACUUUUCGCCUACUUUUUAGUAUGUUUUUUUUUUUAUUGCUUAAAACUAUUUAGUAUGUAAGUAGGCGGUUUCGCUCGCAGGCCAUCUUCCAAGCUGACGCCCCGCGUGUAAAUCAUCCUCCUCGCGUCUUUUAUUUUGACCAAUCAGCAUUCAAAAGCAAGAUAAGGUCGUGACCUAAUCUUAUUUUUCAUCGACAACUUUCGUGGUACUUUAGCAAUUCUCAGAAAAUGUAUCAAUCAGCAACAUCAAAAAGGCUCCUCACAACACCAUCAGCAGAGGUGAAGCGUCUGGAAGGUUCGAACCUAAGAAGGAGGUAACUUGCAACCUCCAGUGUCUCUGCACCUCCACCUGCAACCUGCAGUGUUACAAGGUCAUAAAGAAACUUGUGCACAAAUGUGGAAAAUGAACACUUCCAAGUCUUUGUGUCUGUGCUGACAGCUGAAGGGUGACAUGACCUGCACCCCAUGGCAGCUGACCUGAUGAAAUGCUACUGGGAGGCAGGAGAGCCCCAAAAGUGAUUUAGGUGAACAGAGAUUGCUGUAGUCAGCACGGCCAGUCUCAGGUGAAGGUCAUGUUUUUGAGUGGCAUGAGCUUAAACUGCACCUUGACAUCUGGUAUUUCAUGAAGUGAUUUGUGGCACUUGCAAUAAUAUUCCAGUUCUUUUCUAAUGUCAUAAGCAUUACAAUAAUUUCUCAUGUGUUUCAUAACUCAAUUGCAGGAAACCAGUACUUUAUAGCAGCUCAUGUGCAGUACAUAUUUUGUACAUAUGUUUAUUUAACUUUUAGGAACCAGUGCCAGUGAUGAACAUUUUCAGGCCUAUCUUCUUAAGGGCUUGACGCAUUGGAAUGACAACCGGAUGGAAGAUUCAAUUAAAGGAGCGUCUUGCAUACGGUCAUUAUCAUAGCACUGCUACAGUAUGAGGCGGUGGACCAGCUUUGCAUAUGUGACACUGGAUCAGUCUCUCAGACGAGGCUCGGAUUCAUCACCACCCUGGAUGAGGCCGAUGACUGUGGUGUGACCUGCACAGUGCACACUUCAAGAGUUUGAUGGAGGGGUGUUUUAAAAUCCAGUCGUUGGUGUAAAGGAAGAAGAGAAGAAGAGAACGCACACAGCCUUGAGGAGCACCAGUGCUGAUGGUGCUGGAGUGUGGUACUCUGACUGGACUUCAGAAAAUAGGAAAUCUCGGUUCCUAACUCCGGAAGACAAUUACAAAGCACGUUCCACCCAGAAAGGUCACAGCAAUUUACACCCUGGCCACAACAUGUUCACCCCUGUGGCAUCUGGCAAACGAUAGUAUUGUACAGAUUUGCUCUUACAAAUAAAUUAAAAAACUGCAUUUUCUUUGAAAAA
Paramisgurnus dabryanus is the source of this 1532-nucleotide long non-coding RNA. RefSeq lists it as uncharacterized. Lineage: Eukaryota; Metazoa; Chordata; Actinopteri; Cypriniformes; Cobitidae. The record is from RefSeq and is a predicted model, not a curated record.